GACGAACGCUGGCGGCGUGCCUAAUACAUGCAAGUGGGACGCAAGGGAACACACUGUGCUUGCACACCGUGUUUUCUUGAGUCGCGAACGGGUGAGUAACGCGUAGGUAACCUGCCUAUUAGCGGGGGAUAACUAUUGGAAACGAUAGCUAAUACCGCAUAAUAUUAAUUAUUGCAUGAUAAUUGAUUGAAAGAUGCAAGCGCAUCACUAGUAGAUGGACCUGCGUUGUAUUAGCUAGUUGGUAAGGUAAGAGCUUACCAAGGCGACGAUACAUAGCCGACCUGAGAGGGUGAUCGGCCACACUGGGACUGAGACACGGCCCAGACUCCUACGGGAGGCAGCAGUAGGGAAUCUUCGGCAAUGGACGAAAGUCUGACCGAGCAACGCCGCGUGAGUGAAGAAGGUUUUCGGAUCGUAAAGCUCUGUUGUAAGUCAAGAACGUGUGUGAGAGGGAAAGUUCACACA
Molecule: ribosomal RNA, 465 nt
Filed under: Streptococcus mutans
Lineage: Bacteria; Bacillati; Bacillota; Bacilli; Lactobacillales; Streptococcaceae
Description: bacterial SSU rRNA
Rfam family: Bacterial small subunit ribosomal RNA
Source: RNAcentral